CUGGCCGUAAACGAUGAACACUAGAUGUUGGGGGAAUCGACCCCCUCGGAGUCGUAGCUAACGCGUUAAGUGUUCCGCCUGGGGAGUACGCACGCAAGUGUGAAACUCAAAGGAAUUGACGGGGGCCCGCACAAGCGGUGGAGUAUGUGGUUUAAUUCGAUGCAACGCGAAGAACCUUACCAAGGCUUGACAUCCUGCGAAUCUCCAAGAAAUUGGAGAGUGCCUUUUGGAACGCAGUGACAGGUGGUGCAUGGCUGUCGUCAGCUCGUGUCGUGAGAUGUUGGGUUAAGUCCCGCAACGAGCGCAACCCACGUUUUUAGUUGCCAGCAUUAAGUUGGGCACUCUGGAAAAACUGCCGGUGACAAACCGGAGGAAGGUGUGGACGACGUCAAGUCAUCAUGCCCCUUACGCCUUGGGCUACACACGUACUACAAUGCUGCGGACAAAGAGUAGCGAUCUUGCGAAAGUUAGCUAAUCUCGUAAACCGUGGCUCAGUUCAGAUCGUAGGCUGCAACUCGCCUACGUGAAGGAGGAAUCGCUAGUAAUCGCAGGUCAGCAUACUGCGGUGAAUACGUUCCCGGGCCUUGUACACACCGCCCGUCACACCAUGGAAGUUGGCCAUGCCCGAAGUCGUUACUCUAACCUUUUGGAAGAGGGCGCCGAAGGCAGGGCUAAUGACUGGGGUGAAGUCGUAACAAGGUAGCCGUAGCGGAAGCUGCGGCUGGAUCACCUCCUAA
Molecule: ribosomal RNA, 737 nt
Filed under: Candidatus Synechococcus spongiarum
Lineage: Bacteria; Bacillati; Cyanobacteriota; Cyanophyceae; Synechococcales; Synechococcaceae
Description: bacterial SSU rRNA
Rfam family: Bacterial small subunit ribosomal RNA
Source: RNAcentral